AUACAUGUUGUAGAUAAUUUAUG
RNAcentral lists this non-coding RNA (23 nucleotides) under Cricetulus griseus (Chinese hamster). Lineage: Eukaryota; Metazoa; Chordata; Mammalia; Rodentia; Cricetidae. The record is from RNAcentral.